This 460-nucleotide ribosomal RNA is filed under the name uncultured bacterium. Its description in RNAcentral is "partial 16S ribosomal RNA". It matches the Rfam family "Bacterial small subunit ribosomal RNA", at positions 338 to 795 of the family's 1533-position model. The record is from RNAcentral.
CCUACGGGAGGCAGCAGUGAGGAAUAUUGGUCAAUGGGCGCGAGCCUGAACCAGCCAAGUAGCGUGAAGGAUGACUGCCCUACGGGUUGUAAACUUCUUUUGUCGGGGAGCAAGGCCCGCCACGUGUGGCGGGAAGGAGAGUACCCGAAGAAAAAGCAUCGGCUACCUCCGUGCCAGCAGCCGCGGUAAUCCGGAGGAUGCGAGCGUUAUCCGGAUUUAUUGGGUUUAAAGGGUGCGUAGGCGGAAGGUUAAGUCAGCGGUCAAAUGUCGGUGCUCAACACCGGCCUGCCGUUGAAACUGGUCGUCUUGAGUGAGCGAGAAGUAUGCGGAAUGCGUGGUGUAGCGGUGAAAUGCAUAGAUAUCACGCAGAACUCCGAUUGCGAAGGCAGCAUACCGGCGCGCAACUGACGCUCAUGCACGAAAGUGUGGGUAUCGAACAGGAUUAGAUACCCCUGUAGUC